AAACGACUCUCGGCAACGGAUAUCUCGGCUCUCGCAUCGAUGAAGAACGUAGCGAAAUGCGAUACUUGGUGUGAAUUGCAGAAUCCCGUGAACCAUCGAGUCUUUGAACGCAAGUUGCGCCCGAAACCAUUAGGUCGAGGGCACGUCUGCCUGGGCGUCACG
Molecule: ribosomal RNA, 162 nt
Filed under: Meryta denhamii
Lineage: Eukaryota; Viridiplantae; Streptophyta; Magnoliopsida; Apiales; Araliaceae
Also listed under: 1 other name
Description: 5.8S ribosomal RNA
Rfam family: 5.8S ribosomal RNA
About the family: 5.8S ribosomal RNA (5.8S rRNA) is a component of the large subunit of the eukaryotic ribosome. It is transcribed by RNA polymerase I as part of the 45S precursor that also contains 18S and 28S rRNA.
Source: RNAcentral